This 253-nucleotide ribosomal RNA is filed under the name uncultured bacterium. Its description in RNAcentral is "partial 16S ribosomal RNA". It matches the Rfam family "Bacterial small subunit ribosomal RNA", at positions 524 to 776 of the family's 1533-position model. The record is from RNAcentral.
CACGAACCGUACGAACGUUAUUCGGAAUUACUGGGCUUAAAGGGUUUGUAGGCGGCCUUAUAAGUCAGGUGUGAAAGCCCUCGGCUCAACCGAGGAAUAGCGCUUGAUACUGUAAGGCUUGAGGGAGACAGGGGUAAGCGGAACUGAUGGUGGAGCGGUGAAAUGCGUUGACAUCAUCAGGAACACCGGUGGCGAAAGCGGCUUACUGGGUCUCUUCUGACGCUGAGGAACGAAAGCUAGGGUAGCGAACGGG